AGCUAUGACUGCGCUGUGUACGUUAUGAAGUGGAUGAAGUUAAUUGAGCCAGAAAACAUCAAAAAGGGGAAGUAUCAAUGGGAUAAUUGGCCACAGGAGGAGGUGGACCACUAUAGAGUGGAGUACGCAUCCCGGAUACUAUUCAGUGAGAUGAAGACACAGAGAGAUCAGGCAAUUAGAGAGAGUAGUGCUAUAAGGCUGUCGAAGCCAUCCUCUAUAUUAUUAAGUCCGUUUUGUCAGAUUAAUUCUGCUGAUAUAGAAACUGGGUAAUCCAACUGCUUGGUAGUUUGUAAAUUGAACAAAUGAUGUAAAUAUUUGCCAUUUAUCAACAACUUCUAUUCCAUGUAUAUUUUUUCCCAUAGUUAAACUAUCUGUGCUGGUAAACUGUC
Arachis ipaensis is the source of this 389-nucleotide non-coding RNA. NCBI's taxonomy places the organism in Eukaryota, Viridiplantae, Streptophyta, Magnoliopsida, Fabales, Fabaceae. The record is from RefSeq and is a predicted model, not a curated record.